RNAcentral lists this ribosomal RNA (497 nucleotides) under uncultured bacterium. Its description in RNAcentral is "partial 16S ribosomal RNA". It matches the Rfam family "Bacterial small subunit ribosomal RNA", at positions 28 to 507 of the family's 1533-position model. The record is from RNAcentral.
GAUGAACGCUGGCGGCGUGCCUAAUACAUGCAAGUCGAGCGAACAGACGAGGAGCUUGCUUCUCUGACGUUAGCGGCGGACGGGUGAGUAACACGUGGAUAACCUACCUAUCAGACUGGGAUAACUUCGGGAAACCGGAGCUAAUACCGGAUAAUAUAUUGAACCGCAUGGUUCAAUAGUGAAAGACGGUUUUGCUGUCACUUAUAGAUGGAUCCGCGCCGCAUUAGCUAGUUGGUAAGGUAACGGCUUACCAAGGCAACGAUGCGUAGCCGACCUGAGAGGGUGAUCGGCCACACUGGAACUGAGACACGGUCCAGACGCCUACGGGAGGCAGCAGUAGGGAAUCUUCCGCAAUGGGCGAAAGCCUGACGGAGCAACGCCGCGUGAGUGAUGAAGGUCUUCGGAGCGUAAAACUCUGUUAUUAGGGAAGAACAGAUGUGUAAGUAACUAUGCACGUCUUGACGGUACCUAAUCAGAAAGCCACGGCUAACUACGUG